Molecule: ribosomal RNA, 442 nt
Filed under: uncultured bacterium
Lineage: Bacteria
Description: partial 16S ribosomal RNA
Rfam family: Bacterial small subunit ribosomal RNA
Source: RNAcentral
CCUACGGGAGGCAGCAGUAGGGAAUCUUUCACAAUGGGCGAAAGCCUGAUGGAGCAACGCCGCGUGCAGGAUGAAGGCCUUCGGGUUGGAAACUGCUUUUAUAAGCGAGAAAUAUGACGGUAACUUAUGAACAAGGAUCGGCUAACUACGUGCCAGCAGCCGCGGUCACACGUAGGAUCCGAGCAUUAUACGGAGUGACUGGGUGUAAAGAGUUGCGUAGGUGGCAUAAUAAGUAGCUAGUGAAAUCUGGUGGCUCAACCAUUCAGACUAUUAGCUAAACUGUUAAGCUCGAGACCGUUAGGGGUAACUGGAAUUUCUAGUGUAGGAGUGAAAUCCGUAGAUAUUAGAAGGAACACCAAUAGCGUAGGCAGGUUACUGGGACGGUUCUGACACUAAGGCACGAAAGCGUAGGGAGCAAACGGGAUUAGAUACCCGUGUAGUC